Long non-coding RNA from Papaver somniferum (opium poppy), 2628 nucleotides. RefSeq lists it as uncharacterized. The transcript has 3 exons. The record is from RefSeq and is a predicted model, not a curated record. NCBI's taxonomy places the organism in Eukaryota, Viridiplantae, Streptophyta, Magnoliopsida, Ranunculales, Papaveraceae.
CACCAUUAAAAGGACCCUAAACUUAUCAGAAUACCCCGGUUAAAAAUCCUAGCUUAGCAGAAGCACCAAGGACCUUCACGACAUUUUCUUCGUUCUUUUUCCUUCUGCUCUCUCAUCUUCUUCUCUUCCUAAUCUAACAAUAUCAAUCAAAUCGGCAAACUUCUCCUCACAGACAAGGAAAAUCCUUAACCUCACCCACCGAAAUUUGGAGCAUAAUUCUGUAUACGAUUCUAAUGCUUGAAAUUUGAUUGAUUCUAAACCUAAAUUUGAAUUAGGGUUUUGUUUUGGGUAAUUCUGCUUCUUUGGUUUGUUAGUUAUCGAUUUUAAUUAAGGGAAAAUUAUAUUUUUUGUUGUUCAUCUCUAUUUGGUUUUGUUAUCUGUAUUGAAUACGAACCUUACGACAUGAUUUUUUGAUAGAAUUACUCAUCUACUUUACUUUCAUGGUUCAACUUAAGACCUCUUCGUCAAUGGUUGAAUUCCGUUGAUCACCGAUGACAAUUGAAGCCAAGUCGAAGUCCAAGAAUUAUUGAGCUUGCUCGAUUUCAAGAGCUAGCGGAGGCUGAGAAAGAAAAUGAAUGGCAAUGCCAGUCAAGAGAAUUCUCAACAAAGAGAUGCUCGCUUACAAUGGCGCCAUUUUUUAUACAAAGCAAAAUGAGAUUCAAUGACCUUAAAUGAAACAUCAACAAUGGCGUAAUGCUAAUGAGAGAAGAAAAACAAGAAUUAGAUGUGAAAACAAAGAUGAGCACAUAGCCGAAAGAAGCAAACAACUUACUACCCUCACUCAAGUUCGAUCACAAGACCAUGAAACGGGAACAAGUAGUAUGUGAUGAGAUAGUAUAAUCAUCGAUCCCGGUUAAGCCAUGUACUAGAAAUACCAAUUUUUAAGUAUUGGUAUAUGCUUAACUAAUUAAGGAAUUUGCUAUCAGUGAUUUGUGGCCUGACAAACUUCUGUCGUAUAGGUACUGGGUAGGGCCAUUGAUUUAAGGAGCCUAAUUGCUGAACAGAUGAACUGUAGGAGUUGGACUGUUCGCCCGAGAAACGGCUGAUUUCUAUGGUUUCGGGUCCUAACAAUAAGACUGUUGGAGUAUUACUCAGAGAGAAACAAAAAUUCUAGGAUUUGGCGAAGGCUGUGCUUGAUACUGCUGCUGCAAUACGUGAUGGUGGUUAUGCAAAGCUGAAGUGAAAGGAUCAUCUUCAGGAAAAGAGUAACUUUAUAUAUUUUACCCAUUUAUGGAAGAUAUUUGAUGAUAUCUCAUGCCAAGUGUGGAGGGAGCAUCAACCUUAGUGGUUGGAUGUUUGUCGUGGUCAGAGGGAUGAACACUUGAGGCAUGAUGCUUCAUGAGGUACUACAAAAGCAAUUAAUGUAUUUACAUUGUAUUAAUUAAAUUAAACAAUUAAGGGGAUAUGAUGUAAAACCAAGCACCCUCUUGACAUGACUUUGCAGUAAUCCCAGGGGUGUUGGUGAUCUUAAUUUGGAGUUAUUUGGAUAGCUGUUGUGAGGGUAAGGGUAAUUGUUGGAGUCCUCCAACUUAUAAAAAAGUUAAUCAAUAAACGAUAAGUUUGGGGGUCAUAGAACGGAAUGGCACUCUCAUCGCGCGUGCGUCUUUGCUAGUUAGAUAUUAAGGAAAAAAGCAGUUCACAUAGUUGUUCCUCUCAUCAAUAAGCUGGACAAAUGGGGAUGUGAUGAUUUGAAAUUGAAGAACUUUCUUCUCUAUUACUAGUUCUUCAGAAUUCUUCUAUAGAUGAAUUGGAAGAGGAUGUGAUGAUUUGGAAGAAUCAUAAGUCAGGAAUAUUCACUGUGGCAUCUGCUUAUGAGCUUGAAGUUGGUGAUACAGAUGUGGUUUCCUUCCCAAAAGAGAAAAUUUGGUCUACUAAAUGGCCUCAUAAGGUGGGGUUCUUUUUAUGGCAGGCCGCUCUAGGUCGUCUCCCUACUUUAGAUAACUUGCAGAAGAGGGGUAGUGCUCUGACUACUAGUUCCGGCAACCCACAACCAAAUAUUUGCAAGCUUUGUGAUCUUUUUGUGGAAGAUGCGAAUCAUUUGCUCUUGACUUGUCCUUUUGCAGUUGAGGUUUGGCAUUACUUUCUUCCCAGCGCUAAUUUUACGGGGUCUCUGCAGCCGACUGUGUUAGAGGUUUUGAAAAAUUGGAAGAGCUGUCAUCUCUCUUCUCAAGCUAAGGAACUUUGGGAUAGAUUACCUGCUAGCAUCACUUGGAGUUUAUGGAAGAAGUGUAAUGCUCGUACUUUUGAAGGGAUUCAAAAACGAAGCGAAGCUAUCAUUACCGAGAUAAAAAUUCAGACUAUUCACUGGGCUUCCGUUCAUCCGUCUAUGCAGGGUGUUGCAAUUAAUGAUGGGAUUGUUAACUGGAGUCAUAAAUUUUUUGAUCCUCAUUAAUUUCCAUGUUUUUUUCUCUUUUCUUUCGUGUUUUUGGGUGGAACACUAGUUUAGUUCCAUUUUUUUGAUCUCUUUCAGUAAAUGGAGAUCUAGGUUGUAUUUCUUGGUCUCUAUCAAUACAAUUUUGUCAUUAAAGAAAAAAAUCAAUAAGCUGGACAAACUAAUAGCCCAAUUUGGGAUUGAUUCUUUUCUUUUUGCAAAAGCACUGUAAACAUCUAUUUUAGUAAUACAUUUUU